This 1033-nucleotide ribosomal RNA is filed under the name Alcaligenes faecalis. Its description in RNAcentral is "bacterial SSU rRNA". It matches the Rfam family "Bacterial small subunit ribosomal RNA", at positions 93 to 1124 of the family's 1533-position model. Lineage: Bacteria; Pseudomonadati; Pseudomonadota; Betaproteobacteria; Burkholderiales; Alcaligenaceae. The record is from RNAcentral.
GAGUGGCAGAGGGGUGUGUAAUAUAUCGUGAACGUGCCCUGUAACGGGGGAUAACUACUCAAACCAGUGGCUAAAACCGCAAACACCCUACAGGGGAAGGGGGGGGAUCGCAAGACCUCUCCCUAUUGGACCGGCCGAUAUCGGAUUAGCUAGUUGGUGGGGUAAAGGCUCACCAAGGCCACGAUCCGUAGCUGGUUUGAGAGGACGACCAGGGUGACUGGGACUGAGACACGGCCCACACUCCUACGGGAGGCACCGGUGGGGAAUUUUGGACAAUGGGGGAAACCCUGGUCCUCUGUCCCGCGUGUAUGAUGAAAGCCUUCGGGUUGUAAAGUUCUUUUGGUCUGUUGUUAAGGUAUAUCCUAAUACAAUUUACUGCUGACGGUAUCUGCCGAAUAAUCACCGGAAAACUACGUGCCACUACCCGCGGUAAUACGUAGGGUGCAAGCGUUAAUCGGAAUUACUGGGAAUUAAAGCGUGUGUAGCGGUUCGGAUAGAUUCAUGUGAAAUCCCUGGCUCCCCUUGGAACUGCAUUUUUAACUGCCGAGCUUGGUAUGUCUGAGUGGGGUAGAAGUCCACGUGUUCCAUGUGUAUGCGUAGAUAUGUGGAGGAAUACCGAUGGCAAAGUGGCCCCCUGCGGAUUUACUGACUGUCACUACACACUGAGCGUGCGGAGCAUGAGGAUUAGAUACCCUGGUAUACCCCGCCCUCCACGAUCUCAACUAACUAUUGGGGCUGUUAGCCGGUAUUCCGCGCAUCUAACGCUGUGAAUUUGACAGUCAGGGGAGUACCGUCGCGAGUAUUAACACUCAUGCGGAAUCUCAGGGACUUGCACAAGCGCUGGAUGAUGUGGAUUAACUCGAUGCAACGUCAAACAUUACCUACACUGACCUGUCUCGAGAGCCCACAGAUAUCGCCGUGCUCGGACAUCACCUGCAACACACGUACUGCAUGGCUGUCAUCGGCUCUCUGUCUCUCGAUGUUGUGAUAAGUCGCGUAACGACCGCAACCCAUCGUCAUCAGUUGGCUACUG